Molecule: ribosomal RNA, 836 nt
Filed under: Panorpodes pulcher
Lineage: Eukaryota; Metazoa; Arthropoda; Insecta; Mecoptera; Panorpodidae
Description: partial 16S rRNA
Source: RNAcentral
AAUACCGCGGCCCUUUAAAAUCUUUCAGUGGGCAGAUUAGACUUUAAAUUAUAAUCAAAAAGACAUGUUUUUGUUAAACAGGCGAACAUUAAUUUGCCAAGUUCCUUAAUUUAACCUUUCAAUUAAUUUAUUUUAAACAAUUAAAUAUACUAAUUUUAUCAUUAUUUUAAUUUUUAUAUAAUUUUAAAAAUUAUUUUAAUAAAAACUUAAAUUAAUAAAAAUUAUUUUUAAUUUAAAAUAAAUUAUAACAUUUUCAUAAAUAAUGACUAUUUCUAAGCCUAUAUUUUUUAAACUAAAAAAUUAUUAUAAAAUUUAUUUUAAAGCUUAUCCCUUAAAAUAUUAAUUAUUAAUAAUAAUUUAUUAAUUAAAUAAAUAAUUACUAUUAAUAAUCUAAAUUUAAUUUAUUUCUUAAAAAACUAGAUAUAUUUAAAAACGAAUAACAUUUCAUUUCUAAUUUAUUAUUUUACAUUUUUAUGAAACAAAAAAUUAAAUAAUAAAUUAACUCUUUUAAAUUCGAGAAAAAUUAAAUUUUUAACUUUUAAUUAAUAAACCCUGAUACACAAGGUACAAUAUAUAAAAUUUACUUUUAAUUUAAUAUUUUUUCAUUUAUUUCAAUAUUCUUUUACAAUACUAAUUAACUAUUAUAUAAAUUAUUUGAUCUAUAUUCUAUACAAAAAAACCUUAAUUUAAAAUUAAUUUUAUUAAAUAAAUUAAUAAACAAAAAAAAAUUAAUAAAUCUUUAUUAUCAAAUUAAAUUGAAUUUCACAAUAUACUUUUCAAUGUAAAUGAAAUGCUUUACUUUUCAAGCUCUAAUUUGUCUUUCUAGAUACACCUUC